AGAGUUUGAUCCUGGCUCAGGAUGAACGCUGGCGGCGUGCUUAACACAUGCAAGUCGAACGAAGCAUAGGAGUGGAAUUUUUCGGAAGGAAACAACUAUGACUGAGUGGCGGACGGGUGAGUAACGCGUGGGUAACCUGCCUCAUACAGGGGGAUAACAGUUAGAAAUGACUGCUAAUACCGCAUAAGCGCACAAAACCGCAUGGUUUGGUGUGAAAAACUGAGGUGGUAUGAGAUGGACCCGCGUCUGAUUAGCUAGUUGGAGAGGUAACGGCUCACCAAGGCAACGAUCAGUAGCCGACCUGAGAGGGUGACCGGCCACAUUGGGACUGAGACACGGCCCAAACUCCUACGGGAGGCAGCAGUGGGGAAUAUUGCACAAUGGGGGAAACCCUGAUGCAGCAACGCCGCGUGAGUGAAGAAGUAUUUCGGUAUGUAAAGCUCUAUCAGCAGGGAAGAAGAGAGACGGUACCUGACUAAGAAGCCCCGGCUAACUACGUGCCAGCAGCCGCGGUAAUAGGUAGGGGGCAAGCGUUAUCCGGAUUUACUGGGUGUAAAGGGAGCGUAGACGGCUUGAUAAGUCUGAAGUGAAAGGCCAAGGCUUAACCAUGGAACUGCUUUGGAAACUAUGAGGCUAGAGUGCUGGAGAGGUAAGCGGAAUUCCUAGUGUAGCGGUGAAAUGCGUAGAUAUUAGGAGGAACACCAGUGGCGAAGGCGGCUUACUGGACAGAAACUGACGUUGAGGCUCGAAAGCGUGGGGAGCAAACAGGAUUAGAUACCCUGGUAGUCCACGCGGUAAACGAUGAAUGCUAGGUGUUGGUGGGGCAAAGCCCAUCGGUGCCGUCGCUAACGCAAUAAGCAUUCCACGUGGGGAGUACGUUCGCAAGAAUGAAAGUCAAAGGAAUCGACGGGGACCCGCACAAGCGGUGGAGCAUGUGGUUUAAUUAGAAGCAACGAGAAGAACCUUCCCAAGUCUUGACAUCCUCAUGAAUGAUGGGUAAAGCCAUCAGGCGUUAGGGACAGGAGAGACAGGUGGUGCAUGGUUGUCGUCAGCUUGUGUCGUGAGAUGCUGGGUUAAGUCCCGCAAUGAGCGCAACCCUUAUCAUUAGUAGCCAGCAGGUAGAGCUGGGGACUGUAGUGAGACUGCCAGGGAGAACGUGGAGGAAGGUGGGGAAGACGUCAAAUCAUCAUGCCCCUUAUGAUUUGGGCUACACACGUGCUACAAUGGGGUAAACAGAGGGAGGGGAAAGUGAGAGAUGGAGCGAACCCCAAAAAUAACGUAUCAGUUCGGAUUGUAGUAUGCAACUGGAAUACAUGAAGCUGGAAUCGCUAGUAAUCGCGAAUCAGAAGGUCGCGGUGAAUACGUUCCCGGGUCGUGCACUCACCGCCAGUCA
RNAcentral lists this ribosomal RNA (1393 nucleotides) under uncultured bacterium. RNAcentral describes it as "bacterial SSU rRNA". It matches the Rfam family "Bacterial small subunit ribosomal RNA". The record is from RNAcentral.